Molecule: long non-coding RNA, 4469 nt
Filed under: Sus scrofa (pig)
Lineage: Eukaryota; Metazoa; Chordata; Mammalia; Artiodactyla; Suidae
Description: lncRNA (ENSSSCG00035075657.1)
Source: RNAcentral
GGGGCACAGGCUUGCUGGUGGCAUCCCGCACAGACACUCUCUCCUCACAGCUCCCACCACGGGGACUGGAGGCAGGAGGAGCCGACGGGCCCCUGGAACGGCCGCGGUGCGUCCCGAGGUGGGAGCCGCAAGCCCGAGGCUCGGCCGAGUCCCAGGGGACCCUAACGGAGGCCGGGCUGGAAGGCCAAGGUGGCUGCCACGUGGGAAGGUAUCCUUGACGUCCAGACAUGAUGCUACUGCAGACAUAAGAGACUGCAGACAUAAGCAUGAAGCUAGCUUUUCCAUGCACUGGAACCAGCCAGUACUCACCAGGUUGAGCUGGUCUGGAGCUGAACCCAGCUUCUCCGAGGUCUGCCCGUGGUAGAUGCUCCUUAUCCGUUUCCCUGAGGCGACCAAGCACAGCACGAGAGCCCAAGGCCCCCAUGCAGAUAAUGGACAAAGGCAGGACUUCGUGUUAGUGGCCCACCUUCCUCUUCCUCGACGGUGGCUCCAGCCCCUUCAUGUCGCCUCCAAGCUCCUGCCCAAGUGUUCCCACCCGCACUGCUGGGAGCAGCUCCUCUGUGUUUUCAGGGCCACUUUGCUGUCGUCCUUUGAAGGUUCUCUUGGCGACUCUAGGAAGACUCCAUGGUACAGGUGACCUUCUGUAUCUGUGGAGGAUCGGUUCCCAGAUACCCCCGCCCACGGAUCCCAAAAUCCCAGGAGCCAAGCCUUGUCUAAAGUGCCGGAGUGCAGCCUGGCCUCCAGAACACGUGAGAACAGAGCAGCCGUACUCUGUUUCCAACGAGCCGAUGGCCAAAGCCCCGCUGUGCGUGUUCUCUAUGGACUGAACAGCCAGUGGCCCUGUAGCAGUGAAGCCUCACACCGUCCUCCAGGCUGGAAGGGACCCUUGAGUCACAGAACUUGCCAGUUUGCAAACAUGUCUCUAGUUGUAACAACUUUCAUCUGUCAAAUGAGGGCUCUUCAUUUCUAAGGUUCUAGAAGCCGGCCGUGGUCAUUUAGUCCCUCAGCUGGGUGUACUGAAAUCUGGGCCAGAGGCACAGCUUCCUCGCUAAGACACCCCCCCACCCCAGCACCCUGUACACACACACAGGCAGAGGCCAAGCUGCCUGCCUCCCCGCACCCCCUAGAAUGCUAACCACUGGGGACCGAGGGGCAGUUCCUACCUUUUACAUCCUUACAUACUGAAUCUGGCGCUGGCUCCUGGGCUGCAUCUUCUUAACUGCAAACACUCUAUACCAUCCCUCUCUGGUUCCACCAGCCACCACCCUCCUUCCGUGUCCUCCUCUGAACGUGCCUGAUAAAGGCUUUUGAGUGACUGAAUGAGUGGACGGCUCCCAUCUUCUGUCAUCUCAAUGAGUGCUGCUCCCCAGCUGACUGGAACCAGACGCCCUAGUUCCCAGGCUGGGUUUCCCUCCAGAUGUGUUCUCCUGCAGUGUCGGUUCCACCGUUAAACAGCUGUAUCGCUCAGCAGGUACGCAACGUUGAUGCGCCUCCAUUUCCUCCUCUGCAGAAUUGUGGGCGUUCCUGUCGUGGCUCAGCAGAAUCCGGCUUGUAUCCACGAGGAUGCGGGUUCUAUCCCUGGCCUCGCUCGGUGAAUCUGGGAUCCAGCCUUGCCGUGAGCUGUGGUGUAGGCCGGAAGCUGUAGCUCCAAUUUGACCCCUAGCCUGGAAACUUCCAUAUGCUGAGGGUUCGGCCUUAAAAACAACAACAACAACAAAAUAGUACUUACGUCAUAGGGUUGCUGUCAGCAUUAAAUGAGAGAGUCUGUUAAAAACGCCGAGAACAUUGCCUGGCAAUAUACAUUGCAGAAUACUCAAUAAAUAUUAGCUGGUGUUAUUUCAUACUUCAUCAAACACAACCUUCGUCACACAUCACUGUGCUUCUUAUUUAAUUUGUUGACUUUCCAAAAAGACUGUAAGCUCACGUCUGCCGUGGUCUUAUCCCCAGGGUGGUGGUCUGGCAGGUGGUCAGGGGUCGAUAUAGGUCUAAAUGCACCCCUGCAAGAAUGGGCGCGCUGAGGGCGGACACGAAUUUCUUCCACCUGUGACAUUUCAAAGAAUGGUUGAAACUGGUGCCUCUAUAACAUCUGAGAAGGAGACAGGAGACGCUAUUGCCAAGUGGCUACGUGCGCAGAGGGCGAAGCCAGAGGGGAUGAAUUGGAAGCCCAACUCCACGCUCAGUAGAACGUGACCGUACAUCACCCAGCUUCUGUGCCUCUGUUUCCUCGUCUGUGAAAUGGGAAGGAUGAUAAUAGCACCAACCUCGGAGGGUUUUCAGGAAGCUUGAAUGAGUUCAUGUUUGGAAGGUCGUCGGCAUCACGUAAGUGCUAGCUGCCAUCUGCGCCAUUGGUAAGGACAUGACACAAAGAAGACUUGAGAGAGGAAAAAGCCACCAUGGCUGGAAGGCAGGGCUCAGAACAGGCCUGGGGCCAGGCCAGGAGGGUCCUGCACCAUUGACCUAUGGUCCGAGUAUUUUUGGUUUACAUGGUCCAGGCCACUCUUGAGGGCAGGGGCUUGGGGGGGCGGGGAUUCUAGAAGCCUGAUUUGCACUGCCCUGCCCCCCAGCUCUCAGCACAAACCCUGCCCCCAGGGAGGGAAGACGCAUCCCGGCCCAGCCCCGCUGCUCCUCAGGGGCCUGCUGAGGCCGGCCACUCCUCCCACCCCGCCAGCUCCCCCUGGGGGACUUUGUCAUCACCACGUGGUUCAGGGACCCUCCAGACCCCCAGGGUGGCUGUCCUCUUCUCCGCUGCUGCGCCUCCAAGCCCGGGCCUCAGAGGAGCCCGGCUGCCACAGGACAGCCACCUCCUCCCUGGGCCUCACCGUCACUGACCCAAAAAUGGGUCAGAUUUGCUCAAGAUUCAUGACUUUUACGUAACACUGCUGUUAAACACAGGUGUGACUAUUUAAACGAUUUGAAUAAGAUGCUAAUAAAUGAACCUACUGCCUUGCGAUGGCCGAGCUCUCACUUCAGGAUCGCCGCAACACGAGUGCAGAACGAAUGCCUGGCUGGUGACGGGUUAAAGAAGUCGGUAUCGGCAGGCUUUCAGGAAGGAUCCAGCACGUGGUCCACGAGGUUCCUCAACUGAUGGGGCAGCAGGGACAGCUUCCCUCACUGGUGCCCGCUCACUGCCUGACGGGGGGCAGAGUCCAUCCAGGCAACACACAAUUUCAAAAAUGUGUUUAUCUUCUUCUUUUUUCUUUUUGUGGCCACACCAGUGGCCUAGGGAAGUUCCCGGGCUAGGGGUCGAAUCGGAGCUGCAGCUGCCGGCCUGCUCCACAGCCACAGCAGCUGGAAUCCGAGUCUCGUCUGUGACCCACACCACAGCUCAGGGCGACGUCGGAUCCUUAACCCACUGAGCGAGGCCGGGGAUCGAACCUGGGUCCUCAUGCACACUAGUCGGGGUCUUAACCCUCUGACUCGCAAUGGGAACUCCUAAAACGUUUUCUGACGGGGAUGCAGUCCCCCUUUAGACUGGCAUGCCGCGGCAUAAAGGCGGAAAUGCAGCUUUCUUCGUUCCACGCAGGGCCUCGCUCUCUGGACAGAGGCGGGAGGUGGGACAGGCAGACGGGAACGUCUGGGCUCGUGGCGAGAUUAUCCUGGAAGAGAAGACCGUUCAAACCGCUUGAAGCCCGUUGGGAUCCAAGGUAAGCGGCUUCACAAUCAGCCAAAGAUAAAAUGUUUUGAAAAGCACUGAAACUUCCUAUAGUGAGGGGUUAACUCCGUGGAGGCGUCUGGCUGCGUGGAGAGGGGCCUGGCGAGCAGAGCUGAGCGGCGGGCAGGAAGGGAAGAGGCUGCCUCCCGCCCGGGGCACACAGCCCACAGGCCUCCUGCGCGUGCUGGCCGGUGAUCGGCCAGGAAGGAUGACAGCGUGGCAGCAAGAGGCCACCGCGUGCUCCGAGGGGCUUCAGAUCCCUCCGUGCCUCUUGGUUUGACCCUGGCUUCUUGACUCCUCACGUUCCCCAGCACUACCACGGACCAGACCUUCUAGGACCAACCCUAUACCUCUUCCUCCAACCUCCUCUUGGCCAUGAACUCAGAAGCCAAGGACCCCGCUGACAUCCUGCUGCGGAUGGAUGGCUCGCACCGGCUGGGACCCCAGGUUUUCCUGUUACGUGUCACCGAAGCCUCUCACAAGCCCUGGAAACAUCAUCAGGCACAGGAAGUUCUCAGCAAGAAUCUGAUUUUGGUUCUCCGUGACUCCCCCUCAGGGAUUAGUCUUUGUAGUACAGUUUCCAGAGUUCCCGCUGUGGCUCAGUUGGAAGGAACCCGACUAGUAGCCGUGAGAACACGGGUUCAAUCCCUAGCCUCGCUCAGUGGGUUAAGGAUCCAGUGCUGCUGUGAGCUGUGUGUAGCUCGGAUCUGGCAUGGCUGUGGCUGUGGCCUGGCAGCUGCAGCUCCGAUUCAACCCCUAGCCCAGGAACUUCCAUAUGUCGCAGGUGCAGCCCUAAAAAGAAAAAAAAAAAAAAAAA